Molecule: ribosomal RNA, 395 nt
Filed under: uncultured bacterium
Lineage: Bacteria
Description: partial 16S ribosomal RNA
Rfam family: Bacterial small subunit ribosomal RNA
Source: RNAcentral
AUACGUAGGGUGCAAGCGUUAAUCGGAAUUACUGGGCGUAAAGCGUGCGCAGGCGGUUUUGGAAGGCAGAGGUGAAAUCCCCGGGGUCAACCUGGGAAAUGCCUUUGUGACUGCAAGGCUAGCGUACGGCAGAGGGGGAUGGAAUUUCGCGUGUAGCAGUGAAAUGCGUAGAUAUGCGGAGUAACACCGAUGGCGAAGGCAAUCCCCUGGGCCUGUACUGACGCUCAGGCACGAAAGCGUGGGGAGCAUACAUGAUUAGAUACCCUGUUAGUCCACGCCCUAAACGAUGUCAACUGGUUGUUGGGUCUUCAUUGACUCAGUAACGAAGCUAACGCGUGAAGUUGACCGCCUGGGGAGUACGGCCGCAAGGUUGAAACUCAAAUGAAUUGACGGGG